AUUGAACGCUGGCGGCAGGCCUUACACAGGCAAGGCGAACGGCAGCACGGGUGCUUGCACCUGGGGGCGAGGGGCGAACGGGGGAGGAAGACAGCGGAAGAUGGCGGGGAGUGGGGGAGAGCCCGGCGAAAGCCGGAUUAAUACCGCAUACGAGCUACGGAUGAAAGCGGGGGACCUUCGGGCCUCGCGCUAUAGGGUUGGCCGAUGGCUGAUUAGCUAGUUGGUGGGGUAAAGGCCUACCAAGGCGACGAUCAGUAGCUGGUCUGAGAGGACGACCAGCCACACUGGGACUGAGACACGGCCCAGACUCCUACGGGAGGCAGCAGUGGGGAAUUUUGGACAAAGGGCGAAAGCCUGAUCCAGCAAUGCCGCGUGUGUGAAGAAGGCCUUCGGGUUGUAAAGCACUUUUGUCCGGAAAGAAAUCCUUGGCCCUAAUACGGUCGGGGGAUGACGGUACCGGAAGAAUAAGCACCGGCUAACUACGUG
RNAcentral lists this ribosomal RNA (486 nucleotides) under uncultured bacterium. RNAcentral's name for it is "partial 16S ribosomal RNA". It matches the Rfam family "Bacterial small subunit ribosomal RNA", at positions 29 to 507 of the family's 1533-position model. The record is from RNAcentral.